Molecule: long non-coding RNA, 1040 nt
Organism: Epinephelus fuscoguttatus (brown-marbled grouper)
Lineage: Eukaryota; Metazoa; Chordata; Actinopteri; Perciformes; Serranidae
Exons: 3
Source: RefSeq, a predicted model, not a curated record
GCUGUUUGCUUUUGUAACAGCUCGGGUAAUAUUAUCGGAGGUCGUAGAAAGAGAAAGAAGCUUUUACACGGAACAGAGAAGGCUAAAUCUCCUAGACAGCAAAACAGGAAGCAACAAUGGUCUGACUGUUAAUAAAAGCUAGCAUCUAUGUGGUCAGGAAGAUCCGGGCUUCCAUCACCGCUGGAGAGCAACUGGAAAAGCCCAUCAUAACACCAUGUAGUGCUAGAGCUGAAAUGAGAGCGGGACAGGAGUCGAGAGGAAUCGCCUCAGCGGCCGCACUGAGCCCAGAACCUGAUGGAGGUGUCGUUGGAGCAGUCGGCUCGGGGGCGUCCUCGGAGACAGCUGUGCAAAAAUGCGGCUCCUGACGUUAAGGGUACAGCUGGACACUUGGACUGCAGUCGCCGCAUCAGAAAAAUAUUACUUGUUGUCUCUGUGUUUUUGUGUUACAGGACAGUAAUACAUUAUCAUGGAUGAUUUUGUGUAUAUUCAGAACGUAUGUGCAAUGAUCAACAUCAAUUUUGUCAAAAUGGACUCCAACACAAAGACGAUUACAUCACUGCUUUCCAGUGUCCAUGCUGUGCUCAAGCCAACGUCCAGCUCCCAAUGACACACAUGCAUGCCUUUUUCACAGAGGAAAUUUUGCCUUACCAUGAGAACAAAACAGCUGCAAAUAACAUAAAUGAUGAACAGACAACUUCUCAACUUUUCUCCACCUGGUCAAGUGGUGCAAAUGUUGGUGCCGCCGUCUCAAAGGAAGCUGAAUCACUCUCUGUUUUCCUCAGAGCCUAGCAAAAGUUUCCAAAGUUGGUUGUUCCAUCUUCCACCAUUUCUGCUUCUGGACCAUCACUAUUGCGUAGUGAAAGUGAUGGAGACAUUUAUGCUAUUACAUUUAUUUGGUUAGUCGACGUGUUCUCUGUGAGAAAGGCUUGUAUUUAUGUACUGCAGUGUGUGAAGGCUGACUCACCAACCUCUCUCCAGGGGCUGAGCGGUCCUGAUGUUUCUGCUGCUGUAUCAAUAAAUAAAUCAUUUAAAAAAGAAAA